RNAcentral lists this small RNA (592 nucleotides) under Pongo abelii (Sumatran orangutan). Its description in RNAcentral is "retained intron". Lineage: Eukaryota; Metazoa; Chordata; Mammalia; Primates; Hominidae. The record is from RNAcentral.
CAAAUUUAAAUUCUAUGAUUCUUCAAAUUGAACAAUGAUCUGGACUUGAAAUAAUUUUAAAGGCAACAAAUGUCCCUGCUGUACUGGACUAUGUUUUACAGUUUGUAGACCCUGAAGCUCAAUAAGAACUACAGAAUACCCAAACUUGUAUUAAUGUAAAUCAAAUGUUGAGAUUUUUAAAAGAACACUGGAAGGAAAAACUGACGAGUCAAAAUCAAACAUUCCGGUGUGAGUUCUUCCUUUAGGAAAAGGAUUGGCAAAUACUUGAAUUUGGCCUUUGUCCCAGAGCUCUUAUCUAGCAGUUGGUAAUCGGGGGUCUUUUACUGUAAUGCUUCUUUUGCUGAUAUCGUAUGUGCCUACUAGGGAAUUUCUCUUCAAUGCCAUUGAAACGUUGCCUUGUGUCAAGAAGAAGGCAGACUGGGCCUUGCGCUGGAUUGGGGACAAAGAGGCUACCUAUGGUGAACGUGUUGUAGCCUUUGCUGCAGUGGAAGGCAUCUUCUUUUCCGGUUCUUUUGCAUCGAUAUUCUGGCUCAAGAAACGAGGACUGAUGCCUGGCCUCACAUUUUCUAAUGAACUUAUUAGCAGAGAUGAG